This 449-nucleotide ribosomal RNA is filed under the name uncultured bacterium. RNAcentral describes it as "partial 16S ribosomal RNA". It matches the Rfam family "Bacterial small subunit ribosomal RNA", at positions 354 to 796 of the family's 1533-position model. The record is from RNAcentral.
GUCGAGAAUCUUUCACAAUGGGGGCAACCCUGAUGGAGCGACGCCGCGUGGAGGAUAAGGUCUUCGGAUUGUAAACUCCUGUCAUGCGUGAACAAGGUUGCUUGGUUAAUACCUGGGCAAAUUGAUGGUAACGCAAGAGGAAGAGACGGCUAACUCUGUGCCAGCAGCCGCGGUAAUACAGAGGUCUCAAGCGUUGUUCGGAAUCACUGGGCGUAAAGGGUGCGUAGGUGGCGUGGUAAGUCAGAUGUGAAAGCCCGGGGCUCAACCUCGGAACUGCAUCCUAUACUGCCAUGCUAGAGUACUGGAGAGGUGACUAGAAUUCUCGGUGUAGCAGUGAAAUGCGUAGAUAUCGAGAGGAAUACCAAAGGCGUAGGCAGGUCACUGGACAGUUACUGACACUGAGGCACGAAGGCCAGGGGAGCGAACGGGAUUAGAUACCCCUGUAGUCC